Sapajus apella (tufted capuchin) is the source of this 2362-nucleotide long non-coding RNA. RefSeq lists it as uncharacterized. The record is from RefSeq and is a predicted model, not a curated record. NCBI's taxonomy places the organism in Eukaryota, Metazoa, Chordata, Mammalia, Primates, Cebidae. The transcript has 3 exons.
UAAAGCCUGGCAGGCAAUAAGUGCUUAGCAAUAACUAUUGAAUGAAUGAACGAAAAAAUGAGCAAGUGAAUUUAACACAACUUUUAAAAUCCAGAAUGUCAGUACUAAAAGGAGACUUUUAAGUAGUACUGGAAUUCAACUUAAUGAAGUGUUGCUACAUACUUCCUCUUUUCUGAUCACUGAUACCUGAUAUUUAGAUAGUGAAUGGCUUGUUGCAAACACUGACAUUGUUCACAUAGUAACGUGAUAGAUUGGUGGCCUAGGCAGCAACAUACUUUCUAUAAUCUGUAGCAUGAAGUCAAGUGAGGAGUAACGAUGGUAUUUCCUGAAGCAGCUUUCUUUUGCUUUUCUGUUUAGAUUAUGGUGUGGCCAUGGGUUUCGUUCGUACCAUCACUGUGAAGAAUUUUCGAAACUUAAGAAUCAAACUCUGUUUAUACGUUUUUCAUAUAAGCCCUUAAUUACAGUCACUCCUUGGGCCUAAUGUUUUUGCAGUUACAUGUCAGAUUGAGGUAUUUCGUCCUGAGAAUGUCAGCUGGCUCUAUGAAGAAGCGGAGCAGAUGUCUGCACAACCCAGAGGAGCGCUGAUUUGAGUCCAGGAGUCUUUUUGUUUAAGAACACAUUAAAAGUGUUUGUGUGUCUAUUUGUAAAACCGCUGGGACAUGAUAAAAAGCACUCUAAGACAUAAAAAUUGUUCUUCUGUUUUGAAAGGCAGGAUAGAGGCAUAUGGACAAGUUGUGAUCUUUUCUCUUGCAACUUGAUUUUCAUUACUUGAACUUUGUCUUCUAUGCUUUUAUUACCAACACUUAUACACAAAGGUACAUAUAAUAUUUGCAAAAAGGAGGAUAAACUGUUUUCAGACUGGGGUCUGUUAAGUGUUUAUUUACCACAAUCUACAACAACAAAAAUGACAAUUCCUGCUUGUCACUGAAAAUAAUGUGAGUGAAAUGAAAGGAUGGAAGCAAGUUCUUGCCGGCAUAGCUGAAGUUUGAUAUCAGAUUAUAGAGUGAAAACGUAUUGGCUUGGUUUUGAGGCCUGACUUCGUCAAUUGAAGGCCCUGUGGCGUGGGAGAGAGAUAUUUGAUCCUGUUGAACCUCAGUUUCUCCAUUUAUCAAAUAGAGAUGGAAAGUAUUGGCCUGCACGUAUUUCUCCUUCAAAUGACAUAUUUUGUAGAUAGAAGUGUAUUGUAAGUUGUGUGUGCUUAACAAACAUGAAGGUCUGUUAUGAUCUCACUUUCUGGGUAAGGAGAAAACAGUGGGAUGAGUUUUGUGUCCCUUUCUUUGUGGUUUUGACUCCAGCAGCUUCUGAAUUUCUUUUGCUGACGUUCCUAAUUAGCAACGCCGAAUAUCUUGUUGUAUCAAUCCUCCCCAGCCCUUAAGAUGGAAACAAGUAUUCCAGUUAUCGUUAUACCAUGUGCCGGGCAGGAAAGAAUUGUAUUGCCAUCAGAAUCUCAAUUUAUCAAUCUCAGUGACUUAAAAUUUUGAAUUUGCAAGCUUAAUAUUAUUCAUUAACAAAGUAUUUGUCAUGUUAUAGCUUUCCUCCAGGGAACAAAAGGAAAUGGCACACACUAGCUCUUCUAACAAACUCUCAUUCAGCAAAGGAUGGUGUGCCCUUAAUUUUGUCAGCAUGUGUAUAAAGAAUGUAAUUUUAAUAGAGAUGCUUCACUUUGCAAAUAUAGUGCAUAAUUUUCAAGUACGUCUUUGAAUCUGCCUCAGACCUGCUCAGAAGCUGUGUUUUCCCUCUCUUCAUUAAAUUGUUCCAACCUGGAAAUUUUCUCUUUAGAAUUCAGAUAUUUUUCACUUCUUGGGAAGGGAAUAACUAAGUAAUUUCAAUGCUUUACACUACAAGGAUGAUGUAUUUUUGUUCUGCACAGCAUUGAUGUGGUUGAGCUGUAUUCUUUUUCUAAUAAUGUAAAUAAUAUAGGUCUGUAAGGGUUUGUAUCAUUGCAUGUAUAUGUUAAGAGAAUAAGAGGUAUAAAAGUAAAUUUUGAGGAAUUAUAAGUAUGAACCAGACAGUCUUUUACCUUUAGCUCUGCCUUUAAAUCUUGAACUUAAAGCAAAAAGUUAUGCCCAUCUCUUUGAUUGCAUAUUAAAUAGGAAAAUAAAACUAGAUUGUUCUCAGGAUCUUUUAAAAGAAAAGAUAUAAGCAUGGAUUUAUUAUAGAAAGUGAAAAAGGACCCUAGAAGAAAACCUAGGCAAUACCAUUUGGGACAUAGGCGUGGGCGACGAUUUCAUGAUUAAACACCAGAAGCAAUGGGAACAAAAGCCAAAAUUGGCAAAUGGGAUCUAAUUCAACUAAAGAGCCUCUGCACAGCAAAAGAAACUAUCAUCAGAGUGAACAGGCAACCUACAGAAUGGGAAAAAAU